Molecule: ribosomal RNA, 529 nt
Filed under: uncultured Entrophosporaceae
Lineage: Eukaryota; Fungi; Glomeromycota; Glomeromycetes; Entrophosporales; Entrophosporaceae
Description: SSU rRNA
Rfam family: Eukaryotic small subunit ribosomal RNA
Source: RNAcentral
AGCAGCCGCGGUAAUUCCAGCUCCAAUAGCGUAUAUUAAAGUUGUUGCAGUUAAAAAGCUCGUAGUUGAAUUUCGGGAUUGACGUGAUGGUCAUGCCUUAAGGGGUAUGAACUGUUGCUGUUGAUUUCUCACCUUCUGGAGAAACUUGAUGUCCUUUAUUGGGUGUCUUGCGGAACCAGGACCUUUACCUUGAAAAAAUUAGAGUGUUUAAAGCAGGCAUUUUUGCUCGAAUACAUUAGCAUGGAAUAAUAGAAUAGGACGGCAUGGUUCUAUUUUGUUGGUUUCUAGGACCACCGUAAUGAUUAAUAGGGAUAGUUGGGGGCAUUAGUAUUCAAUUGUCAGAGGUGAAAUUCUUGGAUUUAUUGAAGACUAACUACUGCGAAAGCAUUUGCCAAGGAUGUUUUCAUUAAUCAAGAACGAAAGUUAGGGGAUCGAAGACGAUCAGAUACCGUCGUAGUCUUAACCAUAAACUAUGCCGACUAGGAAUCAGACGAUGUUAAUUUUUUAAUGACUCGUUUGGCACCUUACG